This 411-nucleotide ribosomal RNA is filed under the name Bacteroidota bacterium. RNAcentral describes it as "Bacteroidetes bacterium partial 16S ribosomal RNA". It matches the Rfam family "Bacterial small subunit ribosomal RNA", at positions 355 to 776 of the family's 1533-position model. The record is from RNAcentral. Lineage: Bacteria; Pseudomonadati; Bacteroidota.
UGGGGAAUAUUGCGCAAUGGGGGAAACCCUGACGCAGCGACGCCGCGUGCGGGAUGAAGGCCUUCGGGUUGUAAACCGCUUUUGAUUGGGAGCAAGCUUUCGGGUGAGUGUACCUUUCGAAUAAGCGCCGGCUAACUACGUGCCAGCAGCCGCGGUAAUAAGUAGGGCGCAAGCGUUAUCCGGAAUUAUUGGGCGUAAAGAGCUUGUAGGCGGUUCGUCGCGUCUGGUGUGAAAGCCCAUCGCUUAACGGUGGGUUUGCGCCGGGUACGGGCGGGCUAGAGUGCAGUAGGGGAGACUGGAAUUCCCGGUGUAACGGUGGAAUGUGUAGAUAUCGGGAAGAACACCAAUGGCGAAGGCAGGUCUCUGGGCUGUUACUGACGCUGAGAAGCGAAAGCGUGGGGAGCGAACAGG